This 1198-nucleotide small RNA is filed under the name Histoplasma capsulatum var. duboisii H88. Its description in RNAcentral is "Histoplasma capsulatum H88 hypothetical RNA". The record is from RNAcentral. Lineage: Eukaryota; Fungi; Ascomycota; Eurotiomycetes; Onygenales; Ajellomycetaceae.
AUCCGCCACAACCAGAACAAAAGGGGAAGCGUACUUUCACUGCUCCAGAGUCAGUUUUGGUGAUCCUGCUAACAAGAACCUGCGAAAGUUCAAUCAAGCAUAACACCAUCUCCCGGACUGCAAGCCUGGCACAAAGUACUCGAACACCUGCAAGAGGACUAGUACCUUUUCAAAAUCACUCGACGAACAUUCUGCAGAUAUGUUCUACAACUCUCUACGCUCGUAAGAGCAACAACGUGGAUCGAGCUACGGACGGUGAUGAAAUUUGCCUGGUCAGAUGGCACGGCUGACUGGAUGAAAAGUUGUCGCAGGGGGGCCACAAUAAUCAAAAUUUGUUAACUUCCAUCUCUCAUCUCUAAUACAUUCGACAAUUGCAUUCAGUGGAUGUUUUUUCCACCAACCAUGGCUGUGAGACGGUAUACCAUAUGCAACCAAGUGUUGUGAUUAUUCAAGUCAAACCAGCUGGUUGACGUCCAAAUUACCUUUUCACUAACGAGAAGCCGAUGAGGAGAUCCACCCGGUUGCAAUUUGACUGUGGGCCUUGGUAUUGGCGUGGUAGCUAGGAGUUUAACUAACUCGCUCCGUGUAUCAGCCCUAUAACUAUACCGCGUUUAUUAUUAAUGGGGGAAGAAAAAAAGAAAAACAAAACAAAACAAAACAAAAAUCGCUGGAGCUGCUAGCAGAACGGACCAACCUCACGCUUCAAAAUGUGCGGAGCCAUAAAAGAGCUGGCUUGCUUCUUGCGGAGGAGAUAGUUGUUUAUUAACAGAUGGUGGAACAACCCUACGACCUCACUGCUCCCUCUCCGACUCAUUUUUCUACACUGAGCAACACUUCUCCCUUUCUAAAGAAUACGACAUUUUGACCUUUGGCCUAGCCUCUCAAAGACUUGCAUUAACAUGGACAUGAGCAUAAGCCUGAGCGUGAACAUAAACAUGGGAUGAGUGGGUAGCGGUGGAUGAGAGAUAUUGCCACUUGAAACAGUCGAGAAAUGUUUUUUCUGAGUUAGAGGAUUUGAGAAUAUGAUUUCAAUUCAGCUUGGUUGAAAUUUACUUUAGACCGAGAUUGAAAUCAGGAACCGUUUCAACUCUUAAUGGCACACAUGCAGCAGACCUAGUACAUGGUAGUCCUCUACCAAUGAGUGCAUUCUAUGUAAAGGUUCUUAUGGUGUUUCUGACAUAGGUGAUAGACCCAGCCA